Molecule: ribosomal RNA, 663 nt
Filed under: uncultured archaeon
Lineage: Archaea
Description: bacterial SSU rRNA
Rfam family: Archaeal small subunit ribosomal RNA
Source: RNAcentral
ACCUUUUGUCAGUCCUAGAAACACUAACGAAUAAGGGGUGGGCAAGUUCUGGUGUCAGCCGCCGCGGUAAAACCAGCACCUCAAGUGGUCAGGAUGAUUAUUGGGCCUAAAGCAUCCGUAGCUCGUUUUGUAAGUUUUCGGUUAAAUCCAUGCGCUUAACGUAUGGGCUGCCGGGAAUACUGCAUAACUAGGAAGUGGGAGAGGUAGACGGUACUCGGGAGGAAGGGGUAAAAUCCUUUGAUCUCUUGAUGACCACCUGUGGCGAAGGCGGUCUACCAGAACACGUUCGACGGUGAGGGAUGAAAGCUGGGGGAGCAAACCGGAUUAGAUACCCGGGUAGUCCCAGCUGUAAACUAUGCAAACUCAGUGAUGCAUUGGCUUAUGGCCAAUGCAGUGCUGCAGGGAAGCCGUUAAGUUUGCCGCCUGGGAAGUACGUACGCAAGUAUGAAACUUAAAGGAAUUGGCGGGGGAGCACCACAAGGGGUGAAGCCUGCGGUUCAAUUGGAGUCAACGCCAGAAAUCUUACCCGGAGAGACAGCAGAAUGAAGGUCAAGCUGAAGACUUUACCAGACAAGCUGAGAGGUGGUGCAUGGCCGUCGCCAGCUCGUGCCGUGAGAUGUCCUGUUAAGUCAGGUAACGAGCGAGAUCCCUGCCUCUAGUUGC